RNAcentral lists this ribosomal RNA (500 nucleotides) under uncultured bacterium. RNAcentral's name for it is "partial 16S ribosomal RNA". It matches the Rfam family "Bacterial small subunit ribosomal RNA", at positions 29 to 523 of the family's 1533-position model. The record is from RNAcentral.
AUUGAACGCUGGCGGCAUGCCUUACACAUGCAAGUCGAACGGCAGCACGGGAGCAAUCCUGGUGGCGAGUGGCGAACGGGUGAGUAAAGUAUCGGAACGUGCCCAGUCGUGGGGGAUAACGUAGCGAAAGUUACGCUAAUGCCGCAUACGAUCUAUGGAUGAAAGCGGGGGAUCGCAAGACCUCGCGCGAUUGGAGCGGCCGAUAUCAGAUUAGGUAGUUGGUGGGGUAAAGGCCCACCAAGCCGACGAUCUGUAGCUGGCCUGAGAGGACGACCAGCCACACUGGGACUGAGACACGGCCCAGACUCCUACGGGAGGCAGCAGUGGGGAAUUUUGGACAAUGGGCGAAAGCCUGAUCCAGCCAUGCCGCGUGCAGGAUGAAGGCCUUCGGGUUGUAAACUGCUUUUGUACGGAACGAAAAGGACUGCCCUAAUACGGUGGUCCCAUGACGGUACCGUAAGAAUAAGCACCGGCUAACUACGUGCCAGCCGCCGCCGUAA